RNAcentral lists this transfer RNA (69 nucleotides) under Marmota monax (woodchuck). RNAcentral's name for it is "tRNA.Ser". Lineage: Eukaryota; Metazoa; Chordata; Mammalia; Rodentia; Sciuridae. The record is from RNAcentral.
GGAAUGUGACUCAAGCGGUAGCGCGCUCGCCUGGAAUGCGCGGGGUGCUGGGUUCGAUUCUCAGCACCA